GCAGGUGCGUUAAUAGCGCACUUGCUUGACUAAGGCUCCAGAGGAAGCCACGGCUAACUCUGUGCCAGCAGCCGCGGUAAUACAGAGGCGGCAAGCGUUGUUCGGAAUUAUUGGGCGUAAAGAGCACGUAGGCGGCCUUGCAAGUCAGUUGUGAAAGCCUUCCGCUUAACGGAAGAACGGCAUCUGAUACUACAGGGCUUGAGUACGGGGGGGGAGAGUGGAACUUCUGGU
RNAcentral lists this ribosomal RNA (231 nucleotides) under uncultured anaerobic ammonium-oxidizing bacterium. Its description in RNAcentral is "partial 16S ribosomal RNA". It matches the Rfam family "Bacterial small subunit ribosomal RNA", at positions 442 to 674 of the family's 1533-position model. The record is from RNAcentral.